AUUGAACGCUGGCGGCAGGCCUAACACAUGCGAGUCGAGCGGAUGAAGGGAGCUUGCUCCUGGAUUCAGCGGCGGACGGGUGAGUAAUGCCUAGGAAUCUGCCUGGUAGUGGGGGAUAACGUCCGGAAACGGGCGCUAAUACCGCAUACGUCCUGAGGGAGAAAGUGGGGGAUCUUCGGACCUCACGCUAUCAGAUGAGCCUAGGUCGGAUUAGCUAGUUGGUGGGGUAAAGGCCUACCAAGGCGACGAUCCGUAACUGGUCUGAGAGGAUGAUCAGUCACACUGGAACUGAGACACGGUCCAGACUCCUACGGGAGGCGGCAGUGGGGAAUAUUGGACAAUGGGCGAAAGCCUGAUCCAGCCAUGCCGCGUGUGUGAAGAAGGUCUUCGGAUUGUAAAGCACUUUAAGUUGGGAGGAAGGGCAGUAAGUUAAUACCUUGCUGUUUUGACGUUACCAACAGAAUAAGCACCGGCUAACUUCGUG
This 484-nucleotide ribosomal RNA is filed under the name uncultured bacterium. RNAcentral describes it as "partial 16S ribosomal RNA". It matches the Rfam family "Bacterial small subunit ribosomal RNA", at positions 30 to 507 of the family's 1533-position model. The record is from RNAcentral.